This is a long non-coding RNA of Pundamilia nyererei, 559 nucleotides long. RefSeq lists it as uncharacterized. Lineage: Eukaryota; Metazoa; Chordata; Actinopteri; Cichliformes; Cichlidae. The record is from RefSeq and is a predicted model, not a curated record. The transcript is spliced from 3 exons.
CAACAACCAAAGCCACAGAACACAGGGGUCUGGAACAAAGGAACUGUUGUGCAGACCACAGUGUCACCCGAUGCAUCCAGGAUUACUGUGGAGAUCAAGAACAUCCUUGAUGACCUUUUGAAAGUGGAUCUUAAAACAUUUAUUUUUCGUUUAAGAUUACACACUGAAUCCAAACGUAAACCUAUUUGUCAGAGUAAACUGGAGGAUAAGGACAGCAUGGAUAUUGCUAAAUUAAUGACUGACCACUAUGGAAGCAAGGAAGCUCCACAGGUCGCAAUACAAACUCUAAAAGAGAUAAAUCAGCUGAAACUUGCCUGUCAGCUGGAAGAAAGAAUAAGUCAGCUGAUGCAGAUGACUCUAUCAAAAGAAUCUGUGAGGAAAGAAGCAAACCAGGGAGAAAAGCUGAAGACUUUGUUAAGUUGUGGUGGAAACUCACUUGAUAACUAUGACAAAUUUGUUGUUGUUGUAAACAAGAGCAAUCCAGAACAACUACAUUAUCUUCAGUUUCUGACGAAGUUGAAACUGUUCUGCGUGUUAGACUUUGACCACAGUUCUGCUG